This 566-nucleotide ribosomal RNA is filed under the name uncultured bacterium. Its description in RNAcentral is "bacterial SSU rRNA". It matches the Rfam family "Bacterial small subunit ribosomal RNA", at positions 338 to 897 of the family's 1533-position model. The record is from RNAcentral.
CCUACGGGAGGCAGCAGUGGGGAAUUUUGGACAAUGGGCGAAAGCCUGAUCCAGCAAUGCCGCGUGUGCGAAGAAGGCCUUCGGGUUGUAAAGCACUUUUGUUCGGGAAGAAAACGUCUGUGUUAAUACCACGGGCGGAUGACGGUACCGGAAGAAUAAGCACCGGCUAACUACGUGCCAGCAGCCGCGGUAAUACGUAGGGUGCGAGCGUUAAUCGGAAUUACUGGGCGUAAAGCGUGCGCAGGCGGCUAUGUAAGACAGGUGUGAAAUCCCCGAGCUUAACUUGGGAAUUGCAUUUGUGACUGCAUGGCUAGAGUGUGUCAGAGGGAGGUGGAAUUCCACGUGUAGCAGUGAAAUGCGUAGAUAUGUGGAGGAACACCAAUGGCGAAGGCAGCCUCCUGGGAUAACACUGACGCUCAUGCACGAAAGCGUGGGGAGCAAACAGGAUUAGAUACCCUGGUAGUCCACGCCCUAAACGAUGUCAACUAGUUGUUGGGUCAAUACUGACUUGGUAACGUAGCUAACGCGUGAAGUUGACCGCCUGGGGAGUACGGCCGCAAGGUUAA